GAUGAACGCUGGCGGCGUGCCUAAUACAUGCAAGUCGAGCGAACAGACGAGGAGCUUGCUCCUCUGACGUUAGCGGCGGACGGGUGAGUAACACGUGGAUAACCUACCUAUAAGACUGGGAUAACUUCGGGAAACCGGAGCUAAUACCGGAUAACAUGUUGAACCGCAUGGUUCAACAGUGAAAGACGGUCUUGCUGUCACUUAUAGAUGGAUCCGCGCCGCAUUAGCUAGUUGGUAAGGUAACGGCUUACCAAGGCAACGAUGCGUAGCCGACCUGAGAGGGUGAUCGGCCACACUGGAACUGAGACACGGUCCAGACUCCUACGGGAGGCAGCAGUAGGGAAUCUUCCGCAAUGGGCGAAAGCCUGACGGAGCAACGCCGCGUGAGUGAAGAAGGUCUUCGGAUCGUAAAACUCUGUUAUUAGGGAAGAACAAAUGUGUAAGUAACUAUGCACGUCUUGACGGUACCUAAUCAGAAAGCCACGGCUAACUACAUG
RNAcentral lists this ribosomal RNA (497 nucleotides) under uncultured bacterium. RNAcentral describes it as "partial 16S ribosomal RNA". It matches the Rfam family "Bacterial small subunit ribosomal RNA", at positions 28 to 507 of the family's 1533-position model. The record is from RNAcentral.